UACGGAGGGUGCAAGCGUUGUUCGGAAUUACUGGGCGUAAAGCGCGUGUAGGCGGUCAGGUAAGUCAGAUGUGAAAGCCUUCCGCUUAACGGAAGAAGGGCAUUUGAAACUGCCUGGCUAGAGUACGGGAGAGGAGAGUGGAAUUCCCGGUGUAGAGGUGAAAUUCGUAGAUAUCGGGAGGAACACCAGUGGCGAAGGCGGCUCUCUGGCCCGACACUGACGCUGAGACGCGAAAGCGUGGGGAGCAAACAGG
This 253-nucleotide ribosomal RNA is filed under the name uncultured bacterium. Its description in RNAcentral is "partial 16S ribosomal RNA". It matches the Rfam family "Bacterial small subunit ribosomal RNA", at positions 524 to 776 of the family's 1533-position model. The record is from RNAcentral.